AGCUCCAAUAGCGUAUAUUAAAGUUGUUGCAGUUAAAAAGCUCGUAGUUGAAUUUCUGAAUUGGAUGUCCGGUCCGCUUGUGUUAAUCACGAGUGUGAACUUGUGAUAUUCGAUUCAUUAUUUGUGAGGAAAUUUAUCUGUCAUUAAGUUGAUGGAUUUAUGGACUUGCAUCAUUUACUGUGAAAAAAUUAGAGUGUUUAAAGCAGGCGUUUGCUCUUGAAUACAUUAGCAUGGAAUAAUAAAAUAUGACUUUGGUGGUCUAUUUUGUUGGUUUGCACACCAGAGUAAUGAUUAAUAGGGACAGUUGGGGGUAUUCAUAUUUCAGCGUCAGAGGUGAAAUUCUUGGAUCGCUGAAAGAUGAGCUUAGGCGAAAGCAUUUACCAAGGAUGUUUUCAUUAAU
This 400-nucleotide ribosomal RNA is filed under the name phytoplankton environmental sample. RNAcentral's name for it is "partial small subunit ribosomal RNA". It matches the Rfam family "Eukaryotic small subunit ribosomal RNA", at positions 587 to 977 of the family's 1831-position model. The record is from RNAcentral.